GAAAGUUCAAAUUAGAGCUUGAAAGAAAGCAUUUCAUUUACACUGAACCUUUAACUGUGCAAUUCAGUUUAAUUUG
Molecule: transfer RNA, 76 nt
Filed under: Brachymesia gravida
Lineage: Eukaryota; Metazoa; Arthropoda; Insecta; Odonata; Libellulidae
Description: tRNA-Val
Source: RNAcentral